GCCGCCAUUUCCCGCCACGCCGCUCCCCCGGCCCCAGUCCCUGCCCAGGCCGCCUCCGCCGCGCCGCCAGGAGGAGGUCAUUACUGAAACUGUACUGUGGUGGUCCCUUGCAUUGAAAGCUUCUCUCAUAAGAUGCAUCUCCUGUGCUGUGACAGUUAAAGGUACGUGAAGGUAUUGCAGUUUACCAACAUCCCACUUAUGUACCUUAGGGGUAUAUAGUGUGUAUGUAGAUACAUACACACUGCACGCAAGCACACACUAUAUAUAGCAAAUAUAGUACAUUAGGUUCUAUAAGGGUACAUAUAUACAUACUAUACACAUACACUGUUAUUUAUAGUGCUGUAUCACUGUAUAUAUAGUAUAUACUAUAUAUAGUACUAAGCAUAUAUAAAGCACAAUAUACUAUAUUAGUACUAAACCUUAUGAUCUGUUCUCCCAGUCCGUAUUUUGUCUUGUUGUAGAAAAAUGUUUGUUGUGCUAUGUGAAUGAGAAUACUUGUUUAAUAAAUGCAGGUUGAGUUCACAUCUUGGACAUGCUCUGAAGGGUCUAGUGGCAUAUUCUGGUUCUAGUCCUGGAAGUUUCCUGGCCACAACAAACACUGGCCUAGCACAUAUCCAGCUAACCCUUAUCUUCAGGCUUUGUUGCAUUAAAAGGCCUCUCAGCAAAGGCGAACAAAGGAUCCUGUGAGGGCUGACAUCUUAAAAACGGAGAUAAACUAUGUUUUCUCUGUUGGGUUUGGUGGUUUUUCCCCCUGCGUAUUUUUGGCUUUUCUGUGGGUUUUUUUGGUGGACUUGAAGCUGUACCCUGCAAUUGUGUUACUGACUGUCAGUAUCAAUCUUUCACUGCCAAAUAGAGAUAGGUAUAUGAAGUCCUUGACCAAUUUUGGGGGAUGUAUCCCUCUCCCCUACUUACUCAAACACUCAUCUGGCUGUAUUUAGGAAAAUUUUUAUGAGGCUGGUUGCAUUGAAGGUCCCCUGGGCAGUGUGAGUGCAAGCAUGGAGUGAGGAGAGGGCAGCUUGCCUUGCUGGGAGCUGACACUUGGAGCUCUGCCAGGCUCCAGGCUCUGCCUGACCCUGAGCAGUGCUGGCAGCCGCAGCAAGUAGCAGAGAGCCUGCGAGCACGAGAUUGUGCCUUAUCUCCUGCAGCUCCUCGUCUGCCCCUCUGCGUGGGGCAGGAGCAGGAGCUGUGGCAAUAUCGAGAAUCGGAGAACUUGUCACAGUUUGUGGCUUUCAGCAUAUUCUACUGAACUUAGCUAUGGCCACCUCAGUUAAGUAUGAUAAAAUCACUAUUGCCAAGACAAUGUUUAAUUAAAAAAAAUUUAUUUCACACUUCUAUACAAAUAUCCACAGGUCAUUUCUAAUCAUGGAAUGAUGUAGCAUUGUUAGCCAGUAUAAUGAAAAUUUGAGAUAAAAGUAUACCAGUGACAUGACUUAUUUUUCAAGAACUUUCACUUUAACACUGCUAAGACAUUCAUGUUCUUAGGUGAGGGCCAGAAUCUGCUUUUAGAUUCAGGGGUAUUUGUUAAGCUUCUUAUCCUCUGAUUAGCCUGGCUUCUGAUGUUGCUGAGCCUUUCAGCAAAUAAGCUAGAAUUUUAAAAGCUCAAACACUGGGUAACAUCAACAUUCAUAUGCAAAUGUUCAUAAAAUCAGUCAUAACAUAUUGAGAUUAUUUAGUGUUAAGGAAGAUGAGUGUAGUAAAUUAAUUGUAACUUUUUAGGUGACCACACCUUCGUACUAAUGUUCAAAGUUAGUAGUAAAAAUAAGACACUUGACAACUGCCCUCCUAGCAGGUUUUUACCCUAUAAGGGGAAAAAGUACCAAGAGGUUUUUGCAUAGUUCAAAUUACGAGCAAUUAAAUGCAUACUUUUUGAGCAGAAUUGUGUUUCACAUGGAAUAAACAGUUUUGAACUAAAUCUUUGUUCUUAAAUAGUACCAACACUUUAAAACAUGGGUAAAAAAGUAAACUCUUUAAAUAAUUUUAUCACUUAUGGUACAGUAACUAAAUUACUGAUAAACAACAUCAUGGUUCUACUUUAUCAACAUUCAGGUAUUCGAGAUGAUUCAGUAGUCUCAAUGUGGAUCAGCUCCAGAUCCACACAGUUAAGGUACACGAGGCAUCUACAGACUCCUUCAAGUGCUGUAUAACAGUUGCAGUAGUCAAUGCCUUUUGCCAAACAGGAAGUCCUUAUGAAGCUGGAAAGCUGGUUUUGAGAGAACUCACUUUCUUACAGCAAGUAUAAAACUCUAUCUAAACCCCUACUUCUGCUUGGUGUCCAAAUCCUUAAAUAGUCUGCAAUAAUAUACAAAUCAUGUUACAAGACCUGAUGUUACAACACAUAAACUUACAAGUAUCAGGAAAAGAAAGGCCCCAUACACAUUAUUAGCAUAAAUAUUUACAUUUUUAGAAAGUAUUGGCACCUUCAGUUACUUAUUAAAAUGCAGUGAAAGCCUCAGGUCUCAUAAUCUUAAGUUCAAAAACACAGUGGAUUUGAAAAUUCAUUUAAGUCUUUGGCCUAACAGUUAGUCAAAGACAAUGAUUUAUAACAAAAAUAAAUACAAAAAUGACUAAAAUAUAUAUAUACAAAAAGUACAUCUAAUAUUCAAGCCUCUCUUUUUAAAAAAAACCUGUGUAUAUUUGUUGUGAGCAAGAAUCACACAAUCUGAUCUUAAAAAAAAAAUUUAAAAAAUCAAGCAACAUGACCCAUUGCACAUGUAAUUUAAGAUGAUGCUUCUUGUUAAGCCCUAACUACUGCAGCAGGUAAAGGUUAUGACUAAAGCAAACUUGCAGGUCUUCAGUUAUACUUGAAGAAAGUGUGUUAAGGCCACUGUGUGUUUGUAAAGCACUAUGUAUUGAGGGAACAAUGGAGAACCUGUCUUGACGUUAAUCGUCCAUUCCUUACAUACCAGGAAGAAGGUCAGAAUCACAGGAAAAGGUCUGCUAUAGUGGUUUUGCAUAUUUUGCAGAAAAGACCCCAAAUCAACAUAGUAUUUUCUGAAGUGUGGGUUAGAUUUGAGGGGGGAAAGAGGCAGUCUGAAAAUUAAAUAAUGCAAAUAAAGUCUGUUGAAGCAAUUUUAACUGUGCAAAUAAAAGCCUCAGUAUAAGUAGUAAUAUCUACAAUCAAAUGGUGAAUGUCCAUAGUGUUCAUAGGUCUAACUCCAUCAGUAUUCCAUUAAUGAAAACCUUAACCUCUGUCUGAACUUUCUGGAUGGAGAACAUUUUUCCCUAAGAAUAACUUUCAUUUUCAUUCCAUUUUGUGAACCACUGUUUUGUCUCAUCUUUGAUCUGUCGCUCUUCUUUUCGAAUUCUUACAGCGUGAUAGCUGGGGACACUGUCUUCGUACCUGGAACGCUGGAAGAACCCACACUGGGGUAGAGGAGAAAAAGAACAGUUUAGGUUUAAGUUGCUGCCAAAGUACUACAAUCAUAGAGGCACUAAAUUCUUCCUUUGCACAAAUACAAAGGUAAGAAAAUUGAAAAGAAAAAUAUGUAAGCCAAAAAUGUAGCAUACGUAGCUGUAAAAAUGUGAGGCAGCAGGUCUACAUCAGUUAUUCCAGCAGCACUUGAAGACAAAUGGCACAGUCUGGCCAUAUGGUGGUAAUCUAAUACCUUAAAAAGAUUCCCUCCAGUACAAAGCUGUUCAGUCAUCUAAUGAGAGCAUUUACUGCUACACAAUGAAGUAGGUACAGUUCAGGAAAGCUGCUUCUCCUGAAUCAAAGGUAACUAUGUACUUCAGUGUCUUCCUGCAUGGUGACAUGAUUUACCCUUAAAAAUCUACAAAAAGACUUCCAGAACCUCCAAGAAAAGUUACACUAGGGCCUUGUUUUUCAAAGCACCAUCUCAACUAUAGUCAUCUGAACUAAUUACACAUAUGCAGUAUUAGAAACACAAGUCUUGCUUACUUUGCCAUGGGAAAUCACUCUAGAUGAAAUCCUGUACAGUUUAUUUUUGCUCUGGAAUUUCUUAUCCAAAGCCACUGUAAAAACUGAUUUUAAAUAUAGAGGAACAGAUUGAAAUUAAUUUUCAAAACAAAAUGGAGCUAUGGCCACCACGUUACUAAGCUCAUGAUUGGCAGACACUCAGCUGUACGUGCUUACAGAUCACUGAGGUAAGAUUAGGGUUAAGAGACAUUGUGCCAUCCAGCUGUCAUUAGGUACUGCUGGGGGUAAGAAAAGGUUAAAGUGGCAAGGUCUUUUUGUUCAUAGUGUUUAGAGUGCUGGGUUUUUUGAUUUUGUUUGGUUGGUGGUUUGAGGUUUUUUUAGUAUUAGAACUUACAUGGAACUGAAUUAAAAAAAUGUUAUAGUGAGCAUAGACCAAAUCUUCAGCGAUCUCAUAGUUAAGAUUUCAUUAAACACUGUUUUGACAUAAUUUAUUAAGAAUUCUUCCCCACCCUCUGAUCCCAAGCAUCACUUACUGAUAUAAUGUACAAGCAUGUGAUAUCUUAAUUUGAAUAAAGGUUUCUGGAAGCAUAAAGCAUCUAGUACCUUCAGCAAAGUGUGUUCCUAGAAAAGUGUACCUUAGAACUCAAGUAAAACAGAUGUUUCCAUGCAAUAAAUUCUCAUUAUGAAAACCCCUCUCAUUACAAGCAACGUGGACCUUUUAGCAUGCACUAAAGGUUAGUAAAGCAAGUUUAUAUAUCAUCCACGUUUAUAUAUCUUUACAUUUUAACUCUACAGUGUUGAUUACCAUCUUGCAAGCUUGAAGACUCACUUGUAGUGUUAAAACAUAAAUUUAAAAAAAGACUAAACCCCAUUGCAAAAGAACAAUAUGUUUUCUAAAGAAAUAAACAAGAAGUGUUUUAGACCAAGGUAAACACCUGUGUGUGUUCACAUGCACCAAAGGCUGAAAAUCUAUCAACAGCAUGAGCAAGCAAGUACAACAGUUUGAAAUCCAAAAGUUAAUAGAACAUAUGCAGAAAAAGCUUCACAGUUAGCCACCGCAACCAUAGCAUGUGCCACAGCUAAAAAUUAAAAAAUAUCAUCAGUUACCAAUUACAGAAGUAGAUCAAUACUAUGCAUCAGAAGUAAGCCUCUCUUUAUCAGAUGGCUGAGCAUGGAUCUCAGCCUUGUGAUAUGUGGCAUCGUAAUGAUCUUUCUUAUUUCUCUUGAAGAAACCACACUACAAGGAAGCAAGGUAUUUAGUCAAUUUUUGUGGACUGGAAGAUGUCAAACCUAUUAAAACUAACUUUAAUUAACUCUGUGAACUGUCUUCCUCUUAUCCCUCCACAGGCCAACCAACAACAAAAAAAAAAAUAACAAGAACUCAGCUGUUUCUAGAUCUGAGAACUUCUUGGACUAACUUGAUCUAUAAAGUAACAGAAUAACACAAGUUAUUAACAGAAUAACCUGACAAUAUUAUUUUAGAGGCAUUUUGGUAAAUUUGUAAUAGAUUGCUUGGAUUUUUUUAAGAAAAGGUACAAUAAAGUAUGUCCAAGAAGCCUAGAAAGCUGUUUGUGGACCAGUGCACAGGACAGACAAGAACAAAGGGUAGAACAAAACCAAUUACUGCUUUGACCUGUUCAACACAAGCUUUUACCUUAAAUUAAUUAUGUAUCUGUCUUUGCAGUAUAAUGUUUGUCCUUCAUAAUACAGCACAGUGUUUGUCAUCAAAAGCAGCAUUUUACACUGUGUGUGCGUGUAAAAAAUGCUUGUAUUUUCAUGUGAAGUAAAACACCAGUAGUUAUAACCUAACAGCCUACCUAAAGUAUUAAUUCAUCAGGAACAUAUGCAGGAGCAGCUGGGCAUUUAUUAGAAAAUGAGGAAGUCAUAACUAUCCUGUGAGAAGUAACCUGCAGCAAAUAGUAGUUCCUCAGUAAAGCUAAUUGCUGCAGUUUUGCUGGAAAAAAGUGACAGGAUAGUCUUCUUCACCUCUUCUUCCUUAAUAACCUUCUAAAAUAAUCCCAUAACAGCAAAUACUAACUGUCUGCCCUGUAAAAACUAAGAAUAAAAGCUGUUCUCUUAUA
Molecule: long non-coding RNA, 5958 nt
Organism: Pseudopipra pipra
Lineage: Eukaryota; Metazoa; Chordata; Aves; Passeriformes; Pipridae
Exons: 2
Source: RefSeq, a predicted model, not a curated record